Molecule: long non-coding RNA, 3943 nt
Organism: Meriones unguiculatus (Mongolian gerbil)
Lineage: Eukaryota; Metazoa; Chordata; Mammalia; Rodentia; Muridae
Exons: 5
Source: RefSeq, a predicted model, not a curated record
AACGCCUGCUGAUUCUUACUCUGUCUCUGAGGCUCCAAAUGUGUGGUAAAAACACACGGUGAGUGCAGCUGUCUAAAGCUAAACCCGAAUGGGCUUAAGAUAAAUUAUAUGCACGAAUCCUUUGAUUUCGAGUUUUCUCUUGAGAGGCAUCACUAAUAUUGAAGGACUGAUGCUUUCAUUGUUUUCUGAUGAAUAUAUUUAGUCAUAGAACUAUCUAAAAAGCAUAUGAUUUCAAAAAUAGGUGCAAAUGAUUUAUCUAUAAGAUUAGUAAAUCAUAUAUGGAUAUGAACUUUAAAGGCAUAUAUAGGUUUGGAGAAAAGAUUUUUCUCAGUAAUUUCAAUACAAAGCCCCUAUGACUAAGUUUUGAAAACUCAUGAAAACUCAGAAUAAGACACAGGAUCGACUGGACUCCAGGAGUGACAGCAAUAGAAUCUAUAGACCUAGCAGAUGCCUUCAUACAGCCGCAGAGGAAACCACUGCUAUAAUUCACUGGGCCCCUUCAAGUAGAAUCUGUGUAUACCUUAAGUUAUGGCAAGUUAUCAUAAUAUGUCUCGGAGGCCCAUGAAAGGAAAGGUCUCUGGUGAAACUAAGUUAGAGAAUACAUUUGCAAAAUUUCAUUCGUCAUCCCUUUUCUUAGUCUACUUGAGAAUUUUCCAGAGUAAAAUUUUGUGUACAACGUUACAUUUUUAAAACACAUUUUUUUUUUAUGAGUAACACUCUGAAUAAAAAGCACCGACAUAUCACUGUUUGUUAUGUGACAGGGUAGAUGGACUUCGUUAGAGUCUGGUCUGUAAUUACAUUUCAUUCAGGGAGGGUGCAGCUCCCAUCCUCCACAUCCGCCAGGUUAGAGGGACUUGGUUAAUAUCAGGUAAUGCCUGAAUCAAAACCACCAUUCGACAGUUGUGAUCUCAGGCUCAUCCAUGCUGGACACUGAGAUUGGUUUCCCGGACAAGGAAGGUCCCACAAAAGAAAUGAUUAAAAACAACGAGAGGAUGAUUACUCCUUUGUGAUUCUUGCCUGAGAGGCUGAAAUCUGAGCAGACUCCAUCUCAGUUUCCCUAAUGAAUUCCUCUGCUGCUGUCAUGCGGUUAAUUCUCCACAUUUCCUACUACCCUGAUUAUUAAAAAAAGGAAAAGAAGCCGGCCAAUAUAAACAUCAAAGGGCACUCCUACUUAUGUAGCCUUCAGAUAUUCUCCAGAGAUGGAUUGUGGGAACAAAAGAUUUGGGGCUUUGUGGGGAGAAUGUUUUCCUCUGGAGACAAUGGGCCAAGCCUACCAGACAAUGCAACUCUGCAUUUGGUGCUAUACAGUUAGGCAGCAAGGGUUUGCCCAGAGAGGCCAGAGAUGCUCCCUGGCUUAAGCAAGACCCAUCGCAGCUUUUAUUAAGUGGCAAUGUGGAGGAUGGGAGCGGCACCUUCCCCAAACAGAGUCUAGUGGCAGACAUCCUCCACAAGGCCUCGGACCAAAGAAGAAAGAGGGAUGGGUUGGAGGAGGGAAGCCAUUUGAGACACUUAAAACCAGCAGAGCUUUUCAUUUCCUGAACCUAAAGCAAAUAGCUGUUUGUGGUAUUCACUGGAGUGUGAGGGUGUGCCUUUUCCUUCUUCUUUUCUGCCAAGCUUAUAGACCCCACAGAAAAUUGACUAUAAGAUUGCUCUGAAGUUAAUAAGAUGAGACCCAAUGAGAAUAAAUGGAAAUGCCUAUGUUUGGGAUGGAAGAAUGAACAGGCUGAACAAGAGUUCAUGUGAAACGAUCUAGGGGUUAUACUUGAUUGCAAACAUUAUAUAUGCCAAUACUGUCACUUGGCUGCUGAAAGCCCCACUGCAAUUUAAGGCCAGAUUAGCAAAAGUAUAGUGUUCAGAGUAAGGAAAAUAUACAGCCUCUCUGUCUGACAUAGUUAGAGUCCUGCCUUCAUUCUGGGUGCCAAAUUUUAGAGCACACACAGAAAAACUGGAGCGUGUCAAAAGGGUUACAGGAAGAGAAAUGGAGUGGGAAACCAUGCCAUAUGAAAAACAAAAUCAGAAUCUAGGAUUCUUUAACUAGGAAGAAAAAACUUGUGGACACUUUAGCUAUUUAUAAAUAAGGAUGGGUUAUUCUGGGGAGGAAAGACAACCUCAUCUCCAUAAGCUUUACAUAAGAACAUUUUCCCUAAUAAGUAAAAUUGUCCCCAAAUGGAAUAGUCUAAUGAACACAGCUCUGAUGUUACAGCUGAAUACUCCAGCAGUAAAUAGAAGUUGGUUUCUUUUCUCUUUCUUUCUUUCUUUCUUUCUUUCUUUCUUUCUUUCUUUCUUUCUUUCUUCACCACCUCUCCCUCCUUCUCCUUCCCCCUCUUUUUCAUCCUUCCUUCCUUCCUUCCUUCCUUUCUUUUCCCCAUUUUAUUUAAAAUGUAAUUUUUUUCUAAUAAACUAUAUCCUGUCUAUGGUUUCCCUUCCUUCUAGCUCUUGCAGUUCCUCCCCACUUCCUCAUCCUUCUGGAUCCACCUUCUUUCUGUCUCUUAUUAGAAAACAAACAGGCUUCUAAGAGAUAAUAAGCUAAAGUGAACUAAACUAAACUAAGAUAAAACAAAACUAACACACUGGAAUUGGAUAAAACAAAUAGAAGGAAAAGAGCCCAAGAGAAGGCACAGGAAACAGAGACUAACUUUUUCACAUACCCAAGAAAACCAUGAAAAACACUCAACUGGAAUAUACACAAAAUGGACCUGGUACAGGCCUGUAAAGGGUCUGUACAUACUGCCUCAGUCUCUGUGAGAACAUGUGUGCUUUGAUCAGGUUGAUUUUGGGGGCCUUCUUUUCUUGCUGUCAUCUAUACCCUGGUUUGUAUACUCAUUCUGUUUCUUCCUCCUUAGGGUUAUCUGAGUCCUGAGAGGAGGGAUUUGAUGGAGACAGACCUUAAGGGCUGAAUGUUCCAAGGCCUCUCAUUCUGUAUAAGCCAGAAGCUGGAAACAACCUAAAUGUCCCUUAACAGAAGCAUAGUUAAAGAGAAUGUGGUGGCAUUUACACAACGGAACAUUACUCAGAUAUCUGUGUUCAGACACAUCACAUCAAGACAUCUUUGUUUCCCUCAAACUUGCAUUCGUGCAGAAGCCACAGAUAUUCAACAAAACUAAAAGAAGGCAUACAGAGAAACAAAACACAGGCCUGUAAUAACAGCUACUCAGAGAACCACGCUCAAGGUCUGCUGGGACUACAAAUGUGGCUGCAGAGGUCACUUUUUAAAGUGGAAGAGUCACAAGAUGAGAGGUGCGCUCUGACAAUUCCUGCCUAAAGAUGAGUCUCCCAUCAACCAUGACUGUUUGAUUCAGCUUCAUCUAAGCAAGAAAUAACUGUCUAUAUGUACUAAGCCACUGAGACUUAGCGGUACCCCUCCAGCUCCUCUUGCCCUCAAAUGAAAGCAUCUAUAGACAUGGAAAAUUGUCGUUGGAUGAUUUCCUAUAAACCCCUUUCUAGUAUUUCAGCUGCUCUCCCCUUACAGCUGAAGGACACUGGAUCGAGAUCACCACUGCACACAGGCACAAUUGAAGCCACAGGCUUAAGAUUUCACUGUUGAAGGGGCAGGCUGAGAAGGAACAACUCCGGCUUUAACACCACGAGUAUCUCCGAUUACCAAAUGUGGGCUGAAAGAAUACAAAGCGCUGGGAGAGACAGAAAGGUCCUCGGUAUUCUUCAAAGCCUCCCUGUGGGGUUCUGAGUUCUUCUUUGCUUCCAAAACAGAGAGUCCGGGAAGCCUGCACACCUGGAGUGCAUUAGUGGGCCUUGGACUCAAGGUGAAACCGGGUACGCUUCACCUCGAUGGUUCCCACAAUCCACUCUCAUAAAAAGCUCACAGUAAUUUCUCAGCUUAGGAACGUGGUAUGCUAUUCAUAGAGUGUUGAAUCCAGGGAUUACCUCCUGAAAUCCUGGAUAAAUCCCACUGUUCGUCUGAAUAAACACACUUUCAUGUUGAUUA